GUAGGUGAACCUGCGGAAGGAUCAUUACCAAAUCCAAUACCCCAACCCCUGUGAACUUGUAAUGUCUUGUCUUUGGGGAGGGAGACUCUGUUUUCCUCCCCAUUUUAAUUGAACCACUUCUGAUUUUGUUGGAAUACUUUUAUUAAUAAUUAAUAAAUGACAACUUUUAACGGUGGAUCUCUUGGCUCGU
RNAcentral lists this unclassified non-coding RNA (190 nucleotides) under rhizosphere metagenome. RNAcentral's name for it is "partial ribosomal RNA internal transcribed spacer region". The record is from RNAcentral.